RNAcentral lists this ribosomal RNA (423 nucleotides) under uncultured bacterium. RNAcentral's name for it is "bacterial SSU rRNA". It matches the Rfam family "Bacterial small subunit ribosomal RNA", at positions 355 to 775 of the family's 1533-position model. The record is from RNAcentral.
UAAGGAAUAUUGGUCAAUGGGGGCAACCCUGAACCAGCCAUGCCGCGUGCAGGAAGACGGCCCUCUGGGUUGUAAACUGCUUUUAUUCGGGAAUAAACCUGCCUACGUGUAGGCAGCUGAAUGUACCGAAGGAAUAAGGAUCGGCUAACUCCGUGCCAGCAGCCGCGGUAAUACGGAGGAUCCAAGCGUUAUCCGGAUUUAUUGGGUUUAAAGGGUGCGUAGGCGGCCUGUUAAGUCAGGGGUGAAAGACGAUAGCUCAACUAUCGCAGUGCCCUUGAUACUGAUGGGCUUGAAUGGACUAGAGGUAGGCGGAAUGUGACAAGUAGCGGUGAAAUGCAUAGAUAUGUCACAGAACACCGAUUGCGAAGGCAGCUUACCAUGGUCCUAUUGACGCUGAGGCACGAAAGCGUGGGGAUCAAACAG